AGCCUGAGAGAUGGCUACCACAUCCAAGGAAGGCAGCAGGCGCGUAAAUUGCCCGAAUCCUGACACAGGGAGGUAGUGACAAGAAAUAACAAUACAGGGCUACUUCUAGUCUUGUAAUUGGAAUGAGUACAACUUACAUCUCUUCACGAGGAUCAAUUGGAGGGCAAGUCUGGUGCCAGCAGCCGCGGUAAUUCCAGCUCCAAAAGCGUAUAUUAAAGUUGUUGCAGUUAAAACGCUCGUAGUCGGGUUUCGGGUCGGGCCGAGCGGUCUGCCGAUGGGUAUGCACUGUUUGGCGCGGCCUUCUUUCCGGAGACCGCGGCUACUCUUAACUGAGCGGGCGUGGGAGACGGAUCGUUUACUUUGAAAAAAUCAGAGUGUUUCAAGCAGGCAGCUCGCUCUUGCAUGGUACAGCAUGGGAUGAUUGAAUAGGACUCCGGUGCUAUUUUGUUGGUUUCGAACACCAGGAGUAAUGAUUAACAGGGACAGUCAGGGGCACUCGUAUUCCGUCGAGAGAGGUGAAAUUCUCAGACCAAUGGAAGACGAACCACUGCGAAAGCAUUUGCCAGGGAUGUUUUCACUGAUCAAGAACGAAAGUUAGGGGAUCGAAGACGAUCAGAUACCGUCGUAGUCUUAACCAUAAACCAUGCCGACUAGGGAUUGGAGGGUGUUCGUUUCGACCUCUUCAGCACCUUACGGGAAACUAAAGUCUUUGGGUUCCGGGGGGAGUAUGGUCGCAAGGCUGAAACUUAAAGGAAUUGACGGAAGGGCACCACCAGGAGUGGAGCCUGCGGCUUAAUUUGACUCAACACGGGGAAACUUACCAGGUCCAGACAUUGUUAGGAUUGACAGAUUGAGAGCUCUUUCUUGAUUCGAUGGGUGGUGGUGCAUGGCCGUUCUUAGUUGGUGGAGUGAUUUGUCUGGUUAAUUCCGAUAACGAACGAGACCGUAGCCUGCUAAAUAGUCCCGCGAACUUCUUGUUGGCGGCCGACUUCUUAGAGGGACAACUUGUGACCAACAAGUGGAAGUUUGCGGCAAUAACAGGUCUGUGAUGCCCUUAGAUGUUCUGGGCCGCACGCGCGCUACACUGAAGCACUCAACGAGUCCACCUCGACCGACAGGUCUGGGAAACCUUUUGAAAUUGCUUCGUGAUGGGGAUAGAUUAUUGCAACUAUUAAUCUUCAACGAGGAAUUCCUAGUAAGCGCAUGUCAUCAGCGUGCGUUGAUUACGUCCCUGCCCUUUGUACACACCGCCCGUCGCUCCUACCGAUUGAAUGAUCCGGUGAGGCCCCCGGACUGGGGCGACGCAUUCGGUUCGCCGGACGCGACGCUCCGGGAAGCUGUCCAAACCUUAUUAUUUAGAGGAAGGAGAAGUCGUAACAAGGUUUCCGUAGGUGAACCU
This 1399-nucleotide ribosomal RNA is filed under the name Phaeocystis globosa. RNAcentral describes it as "SSU rRNA". It matches the Rfam family "Eukaryotic small subunit ribosomal RNA", at positions 393 to 1816 of the family's 1831-position model. The record is from RNAcentral. Lineage: Eukaryota; Haptophyta; Phaeocystales; Phaeocystaceae.